GGCACGGAGGAUGACCUGGUGGUACAGCGCCGCGAUCGCCGCGCCGAUGAACGGCCCAACCCAGAAGAUCCACUGCGCCUUGUUGUUGUUGUAGACCACGGCGACGCCGAGGCUCCUGGCCGGGUUGAUGCCGGUGCCGGUGAUCGGGAUCGUCGCCAGGUGCACCAUGAACACCGCGAACCCGAUUGGCAGCGGAGCCAACACCGGAACAUGUGAGUCGCGGGCGUUGCGCUUGGGAUCGGUGGCGGAGAAGACGGUGUACACGAGCACGAAGGUGCCGAUGAUCUCGGCGGCGAGGCCGGUGCCGGUGGAGUAGCCGGCGGCGAGCUCGUUGGCGCCGCCGCCGUACCUGUCGUAGAGCGAGCUCUGGAACCCCUUGACGAGCGCGACGCCGCAGAUGGCGCCGAGGCACUGCGCCGCCAUGUACAGGAGGGCGCGCACCAGGGACACCUUCCGCGCCAGGAAGAGGCCGAGUGUCACCGCCGGGUUGAUGUGCCCGCCGGAGACGCCGGCGGUGCAGUAGACGAGGAUGAAGAUCAUGCCGCCGAACGCCCACGCGAUGCCGAGGACGCCCACACCGCCGCACGCCGCGUCGGCGCCGUUCACGGCGGCGUCCGUCUGGUGCUUGUACCCGAUCACCGUGGCCACCGUGACGUAGAGGAAGAGCAGCGUGGCGACGAACUCGGCGAUCAGCGCGCGGUACAGCGACCACUUGCCCAGCUCGUCGACGUCGACGAGCGGCGCCGGCGGCGGGUCGAUGUAGUCC
Molecule: small RNA, 766 nt
Filed under: Oryza sativa Japonica Group (Japanese rice)
Lineage: Eukaryota; Viridiplantae; Streptophyta; Magnoliopsida; Poales; Poaceae
Description: sRNA Os07g0448150
Source: RNAcentral